Non-coding RNA from Entelurus aequoreus (snake pipefish), 73 nucleotides. The record is from the annotation of a RefSeq genome assembly. NCBI's taxonomy places the organism in Eukaryota, Metazoa, Chordata, Actinopteri, Syngnathiformes, Syngnathidae.
GCCUUGUUAGCGCAUUAGUUAGCGCAUCAGUCUCACAAUCUGAAGGUCGUGAGUUCAAUCCUCACACUAGGCA